RNAcentral lists this ribosomal RNA (395 nucleotides) under uncultured bacterium. Its description in RNAcentral is "bacterial SSU rRNA". It matches the Rfam family "Bacterial small subunit ribosomal RNA", at positions 29 to 402 of the family's 1533-position model. The record is from RNAcentral.
AACGAACGCUGGCGGCGUGCCUAACACAUGCAAGUCGUGCGAGAAAGUUCCUUCGGGAGCGAGUAAAGCGGCGCACGGGUGAGUAACACGUAGGUAACCUGCCCCCCAGUCUGGAACAACUAGAGGAAACUCUAGCUAAUGCCGGAUGAGACCACGAUCCCUUCGGGGGUUGCGGCCAAAAGAUGGCCUCUACUUGUAAGCUAUCGCUGAGGGAUGGGCCUGCGGGCCAUUAGCUUGUUGGUGAGGUAACGGCUCACCAAGGCUGUGAUGGCUAGCUGGUCUGAGAGGAUGACCAGCCACACUGGGACUGAGACACGGCCCAGACUCCGUACGGGAGCAGCAGUGGGAAUAUUGCGACAAAGUGGGACGAAACGCCUGACGCAGCGACGCCGCGU